GGAAGGAAGGAAGAUGUAGUCAUGGAAUGAAGGCAUCAAGGUGAGAAGGAAAGGAAGGAAGGGAGAUGUAGUCAUGGAAUGAAGGCAUCAAGGUGAGAAGGAAAGGAAGGAAGGAAGAUGUAGUCAUGGAAUGAAGGCAUCAAGGUAAGAAGGGAAGGAAGCAAGGUGAGAAGGGGAGGAAUGAAGGAGCGGGGUAUAUCAAUUCUGUAUUCCAUCCCUAUGGUCCUACAGAGCCGGACGCCCCCUCACACCCCUCACAAAGUGUCCCAACAUCUGCUCCGGCUAACAGUAUCUCCUCCC
Molecule: long non-coding RNA, 300 nt
Organism: Gadus macrocephalus (Pacific cod)
Lineage: Eukaryota; Metazoa; Chordata; Actinopteri; Gadiformes; Gadidae
Exons: 3
Source: RefSeq, a predicted model, not a curated record